Molecule: non-coding RNA, 46 nt
Filed under: Schistosoma mattheei
Lineage: Eukaryota; Metazoa; Platyhelminthes; Trematoda; Strigeidida; Schistosomatidae
Source: RNAcentral
GCACUGCUGAGGAGUCCCAAAAUAGGACGAAACGACCGUCCGUUGC